GGUCUCGUAGCUCAGAUGGUAGAGCAUGCGCGUACAAAGCGUAGGCGGUGUCCAUGCGUGGGUUCGAAUCCCACCGAGGCUA
Echinostoma caproni is the source of this 82-nucleotide non-coding RNA. Lineage: Eukaryota; Metazoa; Platyhelminthes; Trematoda; Plagiorchiida; Echinostomatidae. The record is from Rfam.